Molecule: ribosomal RNA, 253 nt
Filed under: uncultured bacterium
Lineage: Bacteria
Description: partial 16S ribosomal RNA
Rfam family: Bacterial small subunit ribosomal RNA
Source: RNAcentral
UACGAAGGGUGCUAGCGUUGUUCGGAAUCACUGGGCGUAAAGCGCGCGUAGUCGGCUUAACAAGUCAGGGGUGAAAUGCCACAGCUCAACUGUGGAACUGCCUUUGAAACUGUUAAGCUAGAGUGUCGGAGGGGAUAGCGGAAUUGCUAAUGUAGAGGUGAAAUUCGUAGAUAUUAGCAGGAACACCGGUGGCGAAGGCGGCUAUCUGGACGACAACUGACGAUUAGGCGCGAAAGCGCGGGGAUCAAACAGG